UGAGGAAUAUUGGUCAAUGGGCGGAAGCCUGAACCAGCCAAGUCGCGUGAGGGAAGACGGCCCUACGGGUUGUAAACCUCUUUUGUCGGGGAGCAAAUUGGCCCUGCGGGGCCAGGCGAGAGUACCCGAAGAAAAAGCAUCGGCUAACUCCGUGCCAGCAGCCGCGGUAAUACGGAGGAUGCGAGCGUUAUCCGGAUUCAUUGGGUUUAAAGGGUGCGUAGGCGGGGGCCUAAGUCAGCGGUAAAAUGUCGGCGCUCAACGCCGGCCGGCCGUUGAAACUGGGUCCCUUGAGUGGGCGAGAGGUAGGCGGAAUGCGCGGUGUAGCGGUGAAAUGCAUAGAUAUCGCGCAGAACGCCGAUUGCGAAGGCAGCCUGCCGGCGCCCGACUGACGCUGAAGCACGAAAGCGUGGGUAUCGAACAGG
This 422-nucleotide ribosomal RNA is filed under the name uncultured Barnesiella sp. RNAcentral describes it as "bacterial SSU rRNA". It matches the Rfam family "Bacterial small subunit ribosomal RNA", at positions 355 to 776 of the family's 1533-position model. Lineage: Bacteria; Pseudomonadati; Bacteroidota; Bacteroidia; Bacteroidales; Barnesiellaceae. The record is from RNAcentral.